CUCUAAUGGUCAUGUUCUGAUGCCAGAAUACUGUCAAACAGGUAUAGCAUCAUAAAGCACAGUUGCAUAUGCCGUGGUUUAAACUAGUGUUCUUAUGACAUGAAAAGCUCAACAAAAACAAUGUUUUAGUGUUUAUGCAUUGGUUUCAUUCAGAACAGCCUCUAAUGGUCAUGUUCUGAUGCCAGAAUACUUUCAACUAGCUCAAUGCUUCCUAAAUGUGCAGUUGCAUUGCCGUGGUUUGAACUAGUGCUCAAAAACGAUGUUUUAGUGUUAAGGCAUUGAUUUCUAACAUUAUAGCUUAAGAUGGUCAUGUUCUGAUGCCAGGCAGCUUAAAAACAGCUCAAUACAACAUGAAAGCACAGUUGCAUAUGCCGUGGUUUAAACUAGUGUUUCUACAGCCUGAAAAGCUCAAAAACGAUGUUUUAGUGUUUAAGCAUUAG
RNAcentral lists this long non-coding RNA (440 nucleotides) under Betta splendens (Siamese fighting fish). RNAcentral's name for it is "lncRNA (ENSBSLG00000000211.1)". The record is from RNAcentral. Lineage: Eukaryota; Metazoa; Chordata; Actinopteri; Anabantiformes; Osphronemidae.